GUCGGAUGACUUUGCCACGCAGACUGUAAAUCUGCCGGCUCAGCCUUCCCAGGUUCGAAUCCUGGCGCCGCCA
RNAcentral lists this transfer RNA (73 nucleotides) under Streptomyces althioticus subsp. attaecolombicae. Its description in RNAcentral is "Streptomyces sp. DSM 41972 tRNA-OTHER". Lineage: Bacteria; Bacillati; Actinomycetota; Actinomycetes; Kitasatosporales; Streptomycetaceae. The record is from RNAcentral.